RNAcentral lists this long non-coding RNA (818 nucleotides) under Volvox carteri. Its description in RNAcentral is "long non-coding RNA (VCAR_LNC004346)". Lineage: Eukaryota; Viridiplantae; Chlorophyta; Chlorophyceae; Chlamydomonadales; Volvocaceae. The record is from RNAcentral.
CCCCCCCCCCUUUGUUCUUCAUCAUCCCGUAAAGGGGAACUAAAGUUCCCCUUUAGGGGAAGAACUUAAGGGGAUGGAAACCAAAGGUUCCCCCCCCCCUUUGGGACACCCAAAGGGGUUCCCCUUUAGGGGAAGACAACCUUUGGUUUUCGUCCCCUAGGGUUGUCCCCCCCCUUCGGUUCCCCUUUAGGGGAUGAAGAAGAAGACACCCUUUGGGCUUCCUUUGGGUUUCAUCCCCUAAAGUGGAACUAAAGGGGAUGCCAUCCCCGAAGGGGAACCCCUUCGGUUAUCGUCCCCUAAAGGGGAACCAAAGGGUUGUUAUCAUUCCCUUAAGGGACUUUGGUUCCCCUUUAGGGGACGACCAAAGGGAGCCCUUGACACCAAACUUGACGAGCCCUUUGGGUGUCUUCUUUAGUUCAUCCCCUAAAGGGGAACAAACUUUAGUUCCCCUUUAGGGGAUGAACUAAAGGGAAUGACACCCCCUAGGAUAUCCCCUUCGGUUUUCAUUCCCUUUAGGGACAACCCCGAAGGGGGUUGUCUUACCCUUUAGGGGGAACAAGAAGGGGGACAAGAAGGGGAACCCAAAGGUUCCCUUUGGGUAUGAAAACCCUAGGGGACUAAAGAGCCCUUCCCUUUGGUCGUCCCCCUAAAGGGGAACCAAAGUCCCUUAAGGGAAUGAUGACAAGGGGACAAGGGGUUCCCCUUUAGUUCCCCUUUAGGGGAAGAAGAAGAAGGGGACGAAGGUAUGAGCGCAAGCGUUGUGAGGGAAGUUAAGACUAGCUGUUUUUAAGGGCGAAGCCCCGUGACGCAGGCCUUNN